This 1371-nucleotide long non-coding RNA is filed under the name Homo sapiens (human). RNAcentral's name for it is "HSALNT0093648". The record is from RNAcentral. Lineage: Eukaryota; Metazoa; Chordata; Mammalia; Primates; Hominidae.
ACUUUUUUGUGUUCAUUGAAUUGAAUUUGUGUUACUGAAUUAUUGUGUUUAUUUAAGUUCUACCUCUUCCUAUAAGGAGAAAGAGAAAAAGAAAUGAAUAUUGUGAGCUCCAAUUCAGUGCCUACAUCCUGCUGAACACUUUGCACAUCGCAUUUAAUUGUAACAACCACCUACCAACUUAUUAUUGGCCACACUCUAUAGUGAGAGCAUUACGCAAUGGCACAGGGGUUAUGAUGGGGAUCUCCUGAAGAGCCAAAGCGACUGAAAUGUCCCUUUGGAGCUGCAAUUAUCAAGGUAGGAUGACAAAGACCAAGUCCAAGAAACAGGAAUUGCUGGAUGAGUGGCAACAUCUUUGAUACUUUCAAUGUUACCACAGAAAAGAAAUCCUGAAAUACUAUGUAUUUCUAAACUCCAAAGAGCCAGGAAUAAGCAAACAUAAAUCUAAUGAGUAUAGGAAGGAAUAUUUAACAGGGAAAGACAGAGAGAGAGACCCCAUUCAAAAGUAGACUGUAACAAAAGCAAAAAUAGGCAAGCGGGACUAUAUCAAACUAAAAACUUCUGCUCUGCAAAAGAAACAAUCAACAAACUGAAAGAAACUACAGAAUUGGAGAAAAUAUUUUCAAACCAUACAUCUGAGAAGGCAUUGAUAUAUACAGAACUCAAACAAUUCAAUAACAAAAAAACAAAUAACCGAAUUUUUUAAAUGAGCAAAGGACUUGAAAAUAUGUUUCUGCAAGGAAGACAUACAAAUGGACAACAGAUAUAUGAAUAGAUGCUCAAUAUCACAAAUCAUCAGGGAAGUACAAAUCAAAACCACAAUGUGGUAUCCUCUUACAUCUGUUAAGAUGACUAUUAUUCAAAUGAAGUAAAAUAAAAGAAAAAAGAAAACAAAGUAACAACUGCUGGCGAGGAUGUGGAAAAAUUGGAAUCCUUGUACAUUGUUGGUGGGAAUGCAAAAUGGAAAAGAGUAUAGAUGUUUCUCACAAAAUUAAAAAUGGAAUUACCAUAUGAUCCAGCAAUCCCACUUUUGAAUAUUCAUCCAAAAGAAUUGAAACGAAGAUCUUGAAGAGAUACAUGCAUUCUUAUGUUCAUUGCAACAUUAUUCACAAUAGACAAAAUAUGGAAACAACCUAAGUGUCAACAGAUAAAUGAACAAAGAAAAUUUGGUAUAUACAUACAAUGGAAUAUUAUUCAGCCGUAAAAAAGAAAUGCUGCUAUAUAAGACAGCAUGGAUUAACCUUGAGAACAUUAUGCUAAGUGAAAUAAGCCAAUCACAGAAGUACAUAUACUGCAUGAUUCCACUUGUGUUUAUAGAUAACAAUACCAUACUGUAUACUUUGAAUUUUGUUAAGAAGGUAGAUCUCAAAAAAA